RNAcentral lists this transfer RNA (73 nucleotides) under Planctomycetota bacterium. Its description in RNAcentral is "Planctomycetes bacterium (sediment metagenome) tRNA-Arg". It matches the Rfam family "tRNA". From Rfam's summary of the family: Transfer RNA (tRNA) molecules are approximately 80 nucleotides in length. The record is from RNAcentral. Lineage: Bacteria; Pseudomonadati; Planctomycetota.
GCCCCCGUAGCUCAGAGGACAGAGCAGGGCUUUCCUAAAGCCAAGGUCGCAGGUUCGACUCCUGCCGGGGGCG